UACAGAGGUCCCGAGCGUUGUUCGGAUUCACUGGGCGUAAAGGGUGCGUAGGUGGUGAGGUAAGUCGGAUGUGAAAUCUCCAGGCUCAACCUGGAAACUGCAUUGGAAACUACCUUGCUGGAGGAUUUGAGGGGGGAUUGGAAUACUUGGUGUAGCAGUGAAGUGCGUAGAUAUCAAGUGGAACACCAGUGGCGAAGGCGAAUCCCUGGAAAAUACCUGACACUGAGGCACGAAAGCUAGGGGAGCAAACAGG
Molecule: ribosomal RNA, 253 nt
Filed under: uncultured bacterium
Lineage: Bacteria
Description: partial 16S ribosomal RNA
Rfam family: Bacterial small subunit ribosomal RNA
Source: RNAcentral